GGCUACCGACUUCACUCCAACCCCUGUGAACAUACCAAUUGUUGCCUCGGCGGAUCAGCCCGCUCCCGGUAAAACGGGACGGCCCGCCAGAGGACCCCUAAACUCUGUUUCUAUAUGUAACUUCUGAGUAAAACCAUAAAUAAAUCAAAACUUUCAACAACGGAUCUCUUGGUUCUGGCAUCGAUGAAGAACGCAGCAAAAUGCGAUAAGUAAUGUGAAUUGCAGAAUUCAGUGAAUCAUCGAAUCUUUGAACGCACAUUGCGCCCGCCAGUAUUCUGGCGGGCAUGCCUGUUCGAGCGUCAUUUCAACCCUCAAGCCCCCGGGUUUGGUGUUGGGGAUCGGCGAGCCCUUGCGGCAAGCCGGCCCCGAAAUCUAGUGGCGGUCUCGCUGCAGCUUCCAUUGCGUAGUAGUAAAACCCUCGCAACUGGUACGCGGCGCGGCCAAGCCGUUAAACCCCCAACUUCUGAAUGUUGACCUCGGAUCAGGUAGGAAUACCCGCUGAACUUAAGCAUAUCAAUAAGGCGGAGGAAUAUCUUUACCGAGUUUACAACUCCCAAACCCUGUGAAAAUACAAUUGUUGACCGGGGGAAUACCGCUCGGUAAAAAGGGACGGCCGCCGAGGACCCUAAACUCUGUUUCUAUAUGUAACUUCUGAGUAAAACAUAAAUAAAUCCAAAACUUUCAACACGGAACUCUUGGUUCUGGCAUCUAUUAAGAAAGCAGCAAAAUGCGAUAAGUAAUGUGAAUUGCAGAACUCAGUGAAAUCAUCGAAACCUUUGAACGCACAUUGCGGCCGCCACUAUUCUGGCGGGAAUGCCUGUUCCAGCGUCAUUUCACCCACACCCCCGGUGUUGUG
RNAcentral lists this ribosomal RNA (856 nucleotides) under Fusarium proliferatum. RNAcentral describes it as "eukaryotic LSU rRNA". The stretch from base 149 to 302 matches the Rfam family "5.8S ribosomal RNA". The record is from RNAcentral. Lineage: Eukaryota; Fungi; Ascomycota; Sordariomycetes; Hypocreales; Nectriaceae.